ACGCUCGACACCUACGGGGGCAGCAGUGGGGAAUAUUGCACAAUGGGGGAAACCCGUGAUGCAGCGACGCCGCGUGGAGGAAGAAGGUCUUCGGAUUGUAAACUCCUGUUGUUGGGGAAAAAGAGGAUGGUACCCAACAAGGAAGUGACGGCUAACUACGUGCCUGCAGCCGCGGUAAUCUGAGCGGGCUGGCAAGGC
Molecule: ribosomal RNA, 198 nt
Filed under: uncultured bacterium
Lineage: Bacteria
Description: partial 16S ribosomal RNA
Rfam family: Bacterial small subunit ribosomal RNA
Source: RNAcentral